This 253-nucleotide ribosomal RNA is filed under the name uncultured bacterium. RNAcentral's name for it is "partial 16S ribosomal RNA". It matches the Rfam family "Bacterial small subunit ribosomal RNA", at positions 524 to 776 of the family's 1533-position model. The record is from RNAcentral.
GACGAAGGAUGCAAGCGUUAUCCGGAUUCAUUGGGCUUAAAGGGAGCGUAGGCGGAUUGGUAAGUCAGUGGUGAAAUCUUUGGGCUUAACCCAGAAACUGCCAUUGAUACUGCUGAUCUAGAGUACAGUUGCCGUUGGCGGAAUAUGACAUGUAGUGGUGAAAUACUUAGAUAUGUCAUAGAACACCGAUUGCGAAGGCAGCUAACGAAGCUGUAACUGACGCUGAGGCUCGAAAGUGCGGGGAUCAAACAGG